GAAAACUUUGGGCUUGGCAUUAGGAGAGCCUCGGCUGAAAUCCGAGGUUUUGAACGCGAUUUUUUCCGACAGAAGCUGGGCGCUUUCUUUCAUGUAAUGCUGCAGCUGAGCCUGGGACAGGUCUUUGAAAGCUACUCCAGAAGGGUAUUUCUCCACCGCCGGGACCACCAGUUUAUUCCUUUCGGCUAAAUACGUUUUUGGCUGCGGGUGCAAAGGGGAACUGAGGAAGUAGGAGGCCACCGGGUGGAUGUUCACGCCGGCUGCCGGGUGGCAUGGGCCGUCACCUCGGUUCAGGUAGCACAAGGCGCCCAUGGCGUGGAAUGAAGAGUGGUUGACCACACGCGGCCUUACCAGCUUGUACUGCUGCAGCGGCAGCGCGUCGCGGGCCAGGUCGCCCUUGAGACUCAGUGCGCAGUUGAGCAGGUCGCUGCAGCUGAAUGCGGGAGCCGAGGGCACCGCCGCGGGCGCCGCCGGGGCCUCCAGACUGGCCUUCCGCGGCUCGGAGCCCGUCACUCCUGCCUUGGGGCUCGUGUCGUAGGCCACAGGCACGAAGGGGAUCAUGCAGGGGAUCGACGAGUUGAGAUGCAGAGAGUGCUUGGGUUCCCCCUUGGCAUCACCAGCCGAACCUGCCUGCCCAGCCCAAUGGACUCCUGCCAGCCCAUCGCAGAGUUCUUGGCGCACCAAUGACUCGGGGACAAUCACUACUUAUUUCUAUCAAUAGAAAGUGUUGUGUCAAUAACGCAGCCAAGAUCUCGCCAAUCGUUAACUUCCAAGAGGAGAAGGGCUCGGGGUUGCCCGCUCCCGGAAUCCCGGAGUCUCCGCGGCCCGAACCGAGUCUGGACCAUUUAGAAGACGCCGGCAGGUAACUGGCCUCCCCAAACGCCCCGAAAAUUAAAAGCCUUAGGAGGCUUGUUCUGUGUUUGUGGUUUUGUAAAGGCAAUGCCCGCGGCAAUAGGCCUGGGAAAGUCGCACUUUCAUCCACAAAGUUGAGGAGUUGCAAGGAAUAAUUGGGUGUCACACCACAAGCAACCUUGACUCGAUCGGACCCCACCCAGGAUACACACAGACGCGCGCGCGCGCACGCUUCCGAGUUUCCAUUGAGAGUCUGGAAAGAGCAUUUCUUUCUUAAGUACCUGCGCUCAGCUAGAGCUCUCCCGGAGCAUUUUAAAUACUGAAUGCCGAGCGGAGAAGGGAAACAGAGUGUAUUAAUCCCCACUCCGGUUGCCGGUGUCUGCAAGCCUCCUCUAAGCAGCGCAGGCGGCAGCCUGGAUGUCUGUGCGCAUCAAGGAGACUUGCCGGCGCCAGAGUUGUGUCCACAGGUGCACUUGUGCCUCCCAAAGAGCGCGCGUAGAGACCAUUUCCCCUGCAACGCCCCCCAGCCGAACACCCGCCGGGUGUGGCACCUCGGCCGAAACUCCUGGGGCGGCGCGGUGGAGCGUGUGGAGGUUUCCGGGAAGACGCCUACGGCUGCGGCUCCGACUGUGCGGGCUCCCGCCGCCCAGGCAAGAGCGUCCAGGAGCGCGCUGGAAGCUGCGGCGCGCACCUUCCCCGGCGCAGUCUCUUGCCAGCCGGCGAUCACGCAGAGCUGAACCCCGCAGCUAGGCGCGCAGGAAGGGCUGCACAGAGUUUGAAGACACGGCAGCUGUAAGCUGGCGUGAGGAGGCCAAAGGAGCGCGCAGAGCUGCAAGCAAAGGGCGGUGGGGCCUGGACCCUGAAGUGAGUGGCCGACCGCAGCAGCUCAAGGUGCCAUCUGCCUGGCAAGCUACCCGGGUCCCUCCGCCCCACUCUAACUUUCCGCGAAAAUCAGUUCCGCCUCUGCCCCAAGAGCCAAGAGGGGUGGAAAGGAAGAGAGCUUGGGCUGGGAACGCGCCUGAUGUCUAACAGAAAGGCAGUGGCAGCUGGCGAAAAAUCCCCCUCCUGCUGCACUCCUCCGCCACCGGGCUAGGUUGAAAGGAAAAAGCCAAGAAGCGCGAAGCAGCCCGGCUCUGGAAGGCUUUGGAGAGUCCAGCUGACUUGUACACAAUUCGCGGCCUCUGGAGCCUUACCUGCCUUCUUGACUGAAUGCCACCAGUUCGUUUUACGCUUGUGGCUUUUUGUUGAAGUCCCUAUCAUAAGCAAAUGCAGUUUCUGGCUAUGGUUACUGCAAUUCGAAAUAAAAGGCCUGUGAGGUGUGUCCCUCCAGACUGAGAGGCUAUGACUCAGGGUUGGACUUUAUGGAAAAAAAGAAGUUUAUAAAACAAGUAACCCAGUUUCUCCAACCUUUACUGUGGAGCAACAGCGUCAAGCAACAAAACCCAGCAAAGUUUUGCUUGUCACUUACAAGGGUGUUACUGAAAUCUGGAAGGCGAACAAUUAGAAGAUAGCCCAAACAUGCUCUAUUGCUCUACACUGAAAUACUUGCCUCCAAUAAUAGAAAAAACCUGUUUUCGUGCAAUUGAUUGAUUAGCGUUCUGCAGCAGUCCCUGGACAAUUUUAAAGACAUUUUGUGUUUGUGGCCAAAAUUAGAAACAAGCAGACACACACACAAAACAACCAUAUUCAAGACACGGUUCGACUGUUUCCUUGACACUACCCACGAAGUUUAAAGCAUUUUUUAUGUUAUUUUCAAACUUUCUUAAGUGAUCCCAUGAAAUAAAAGUCGAUAAUAGAAAUU
Homo sapiens (human) is the source of this 2653-nucleotide long non-coding RNA. Ensembl annotates it as FEZF1 antisense RNA 1. Its record names the gene FEZF1-AS1. The record is from Ensembl. NCBI's taxonomy places the organism in Eukaryota, Metazoa, Chordata, Mammalia, Primates, Hominidae.